UCCAUGCGAGUGUUCUCCGUUGAUUGUCCGAACGCAAUUCUUGUUGAAUUUCCUAGUCAAGAACUGUGUACGGACAUCAGUGGUUGAUACCGCUAGCACCU
Molecule: non-coding RNA, 101 nt
Organism: Strongylocentrotus purpuratus (purple sea urchin)
Lineage: Eukaryota; Metazoa; Echinodermata; Echinoidea; Camarodonta; Strongylocentrotidae
Gene: Mir219
Product: microRNA mir-219
Exons: 1
Source: RefSeq, marked provisional